Molecule: ribosomal RNA, 461 nt
Filed under: uncultured bacterium
Lineage: Bacteria
Description: bacterial SSU rRNA
Rfam family: Bacterial small subunit ribosomal RNA
Source: RNAcentral
AAUGAACGCUGGCGGCAUGCCUAACACAUGCAAGUCGAACGAGACCUUCGGGUCUAGUGGCGCACGGGUGCGUAACGCGUGGGAAUCUACCCUUGGGUUCGGAAUAACUCAGAGAAAUUUGAGCUAAUACCGGAUGAUGACGUAAGUCCAAAGAUUUAUCGCCCAAGGAUGAGCCCGCGUAGGAUUAGCUUGUUGGUGAGGUAAAAGCUCACCAAGGCGACGAUCCUUAGCUGGUCUGAGAGGAUGAUCAGCCACACUGGGACUGAGACACGGCCCAGACUCCUACGGGAGGCAGCAGUGGGAAUAUUGGACAAUGGGCGAAAGGCCUGAUCCAGCAAUGCCGCGUGAGUGAUGAAGGCCUUAGGGUUGUAAAGCUCUUUUACCCGGGAUGAUAAUGACAGUACCGGGAGAAUAAGCCCCCGGCUAACUCCGUGCCAGCAGCCGCGGUAAUGUGACUACUG